UAGGGCUUAUAGUAUUUUGCUUACAACAAGAUCUUUUUGGCCUUAA
Molecule: transfer RNA, 46 nt
Filed under: Histiostomatidae sp. XFX
Lineage: Eukaryota; Metazoa; Arthropoda; Arachnida; Sarcoptiformes; Histiostomatidae
Description: tRNA-Val
Source: RNAcentral